This 1077-nucleotide long non-coding RNA is filed under the name Chloebia gouldiae (Gouldian finch). Its description in RNAcentral is "Erythrura gouldiae (Gouldian finch) lncRNA (ENSEGOG00005014936.1)". Lineage: Eukaryota; Metazoa; Chordata; Aves; Passeriformes; Passeridae. The record is from RNAcentral.
AUGUGGGCUGAGGAUUUGGGCUCAGGAUGUGGGCUCAGGAUCAGUUUUUGGGCUCAGGAUCAGGAUCAGGAUGCGGGCUCAGGAUCAGGAUGUGGGAUCAGGACCAGGAUCAGGAUCAGUUUUUGGGCUCAGGAUCAGGAUCAGUUUCUGGGCUCAGGACCAGGACCAGGAUCAGUUUUUGGGCUCAGGAUCAGGACCAGGAUCAGUUUUUGGGCUCAGGACCAGGAUCAGGUUUUGGGCUCAGGAUCAGGAUCAGUUUUUGGGCUCAGGACCAGGAUGAGUUUUUGGGCUCAGGACCAGGAUCAGUUUUUGGGCUCAGGAUCAGGACCAGGAUCAGUUUUUGGGCUCAGGACCAGGAUCAGUUUUUGGGCUCAGGACCAGGACCAGGAUCAGUUUUUGGGCUCAGGACCAGGAUCAGUUUUUGGGCUCAGGAUCAGGACCAGGAUGAGUUUUUGGGCUCAGGAUCAGUUUUUGGGCUCAGGACCAGUUUCUGGGCUCAGGACCAGGAUCAGUUUUUGGGCUCCGGACCAGGACCAGUUUUUGGGCUCAGGACCAGGAUCAGGAUUCAGGACCAGGAUCAGGAUUCAGGACCAGGAUCAGGACUCGGGCUCCCGUCCCGCAGGAGCCGGGCCCCGAGCCGUGCUGCGUGCUGCUGGUGUCCAACCUGCCGGCCAAGGGCUGCGGGCAGGAGGAGCUCUGCAACCUGGCCCGGCCCUUCGGCGGCCUGCGCGACCUGCUGCUGCUCUCCUCGCACAAAAAGGUACCAGGAGCGGGACUGGGCCUGUUUUUGGGAAGUUUUUUGGGAUUUUUGGGGGGAUUUUUGAGGAUUUUUUGGGGAUUUUUGAGGAUUUUUUGGGAAGUUUUUGGAGAUUUUUGGAGGAUUUGGCCAAGCCCUUCAGGGGCCUGCAGGACCGGCUGCUGCGCUNNNNNNNNNNGGAUUUGGCCAAGCCCUUCAGGGGCCUGCAGGACCGGCUGCUGCGCUCGUCAUACAAAAAGGUACCGGGGAAUGGGGCUUGGGGGUUUAAAGGAUUUUUGGGGAUUUUUUUCAAUUUUUGGGGAUUUUUGGGGGAUUUUUGA